AACUACUGGCCAAAGGACUGUGCAGUACCAGUCCUUUUGGUGCCUAAGAAGGAUGGCACCUAGCGCAUGUGUGUGGACUGUAGGGCUGUUAACAAAAUCACUGUGAAGUAUAGACACCCUAUUCAUAGAUUAGAUAAUAUGUUGAUGAAUUGCGUGGUCCUGUUGUAUUUCCUAAAAAUAAUUUGAGGAAUGAUUAUCAUCAAAUUAGGAUGAAA
RNAcentral lists this unclassified non-coding RNA (215 nucleotides) under Hevea brasiliensis (rubber tree). The record is from RNAcentral. Lineage: Eukaryota; Viridiplantae; Streptophyta; Magnoliopsida; Malpighiales; Euphorbiaceae.